Molecule: ribosomal RNA, 416 nt
Filed under: uncultured prokaryote
Description: bacterial SSU rRNA
Rfam family: Bacterial small subunit ribosomal RNA
Source: RNAcentral
GUGUCAGCAGCCGCGGUAAUACGGAGGGCGCAAGCGUUGCUCGGAAUCACUGGGCGUAAAGGGGGCGCAGGCGGUCCUGUAAGUCGGGUGUGAAAGCCCUCGGCUCAACCGAGGAAUUGCACUCGAUACUGCAGGACUUGAGUUCGGUAGAGGGAAGCGGAAUUCCUGGUGUAGCGGUGAAAUGCGUUGAUAUCAGGAGGAACACCGGUGGCGAAGGCGGCUUCCUGGACCGUAACUGACGCUGAGGCCCGAAAGCGUCGGGGAGCAAACCGGAUUAGAUACCCGGGUAGUCCACGCCCUAAACGAUGGGUGCUAGCUGUCGGUCCACUGCGGUGGGUCGGUGGCGAAGCUAACGCGUUAAGCACCCCGCCUGGGGACUACGGCCGCAAGGCUAAAACUUAAAUGAAUUGACGGGG